This 907-nucleotide ribosomal RNA is filed under the name uncultured organism. RNAcentral describes it as "bacterial SSU rRNA". It matches the Rfam family "Bacterial small subunit ribosomal RNA", at positions 66 to 946 of the family's 1533-position model. The record is from RNAcentral.
ACGAGAAUCUUUNCUUGCUAGAGAAAGUAAGUGGCGCACGGGUGAGUAACGCGUGGGUAAUCUGCCUCCGAAUCGGGGAUGGAUUGCGAAAGCGAUGCUAAUACCGGAUAAAAUCUGGUUGGCUUCGGUGAACCGGAUCAAAGGUGGUCUCUUUUAAAAAGCUACCGUUUGGAGAUGAGCUCGCGUACCAUUAGCUUGUUGGUGGGGUAAAGGCUCACCAAGGCGACGAUGGUUAGCUGGUCUGAGAGGAUGAUCAGCCACACCGGAACUGGAACACGGUCCGGACUCCUACGGGAGGCAGCAGUGAGGAAUUUUGCGCAAUGGGGGAAACCCUGACGCAGCAACGCCGCGUGAGUGAUGAAGGCUUUCGGGUCGUAAAGCUCUGUCAGGUGGGAAGAACCCACCAGGUGUAAACAUCACCUGGUGCUGACGGUACCACCGAAGGAAGCACCGGCUAACUCCGUGCCAGCAGCCGCGGUAAUACGGGGGGUGCGAGCGUUAUUCGGAAUCAUUGGGCGUAAAGGGCGCGCAGGCGGUUUUGUAAGUCAGAUGUGAAAUCCCGGGGCUUAACCCCGGAAGUGCAUAUGAAACUAUGAGACUUGAGUAUGGGAGAGGGAAGCGGAAUUCCUGGUGUAGCGGUGAAAUGCGUAGAUAUCAGGAGGAACACCGGUGGCGAAGGCGGCUUCCUGGACCAAUACUGACGCUGAGGCGCGAAGGCGUGGGGAGCGAACAGGAUUAGAUACCCUGGUAGUCCACGCAGUAAACGUUGACCCACUAGGUGUAGCGGGUAUUUGACCCCUGCUGUGCCGGAGUUAACGCAUUAAGUGAUCCGGCUUGGGAGUACGAACGCAAGAUUAAAACUCACAGGAAUUGACGGGGGCCCGCACAAGCGGUGGAGCAUGUGGUU